GAUGAAGAACGUAGCGAAAUGCGAUACGUAAUGUGAAUUGCAGAAUUCAGUGAAUCAUCGAAUCUUUGAACGCAUAUUGCGCUCUUUGGUAUUCCGAAGAGCAUGCUUGUUUGAGUAUCAGUAAACACCUCAACCUCUUCUUGAUUUUUCAAAAGGAGGGUGGACUUGAGCUAUCCCAACAACCUUUACCGGUCGGCGGGCGGCUUGAAAUGCAGGUGCAGCUGGACUUUUAUCUGAGCUAAAAGCAUAUCUAUUUAGUCCUCGCCAAACAGGAUUAUUACUUUUGCUGCAGCUAACAUAAAGGAUAAUUGUCCUCUUUGCUGACUGAUGCAGGAUUUUACGACACUUUAUGUGUUGUUCAACUCGAUCUCAAAUCAAGUAAGACUACCCGCUGAACUUAAGCAUAUCAAUAAGCGGAGGA
This 421-nucleotide unclassified non-coding RNA is filed under the name soil metagenome. Its description in RNAcentral is "partial contains 5.8S ribosomal RNA, internal transcribed spacer 2, and large subunit ribosomal RNA". The stretch from base 1 to 120 matches the Rfam family "5.8S ribosomal RNA", at positions 35 to 154 of the family's 154-position model. The record is from RNAcentral.